GAGCUGGGGAGCUCCAGCCUGGAAAGCCCCAAGCUACAGCCUAGCAGAGGGCUAGCAGGUCCCAUGCCUGAUUCAGAGCACAGGAUGGAUGAUGCUCAGGGCCUAUCUCCACAACGAGAUGCUGUUGCCUGCAGCACCUCUCCUGCGAGGAAGAGAAGGAAACAGAGUGAGUGAGAAGAGGAGGCUCAGACUGAAAGAGAACCUCUGAGAAAGAGAGAGGAUAAAACACAAGAAAAGAUGGAGAGAAAGCGAAGCACAGUGGCAUGGAGCAAUGUGAGAGAUGAGGGAAGGGACAUAAAGAGCCAAGGGAGAAGAAAAAACUAGGGAGAAGAGAAGCAAAGGAGAGAGUGAAGAGGCAAGAGCUCAAGUGGGAAAAGAGCCAACAGGACUGCUAAAAAAAAAUGAGGAUAGGAGGGGGAAGAUAAAACAGAAUGGAAAUAGAAUACACUGCUGCUGCAUGUAAAAGCAGAAACCAAGAAGUAGUAUUAAUUUUCAGAGACAAAAGAAUCAGUAACGAUCUGUGAACAAACAGAAGUAAUAUUAUAUUUCUACCAGAAAACAUAAUUUUCCCUCCCCACAGACUCAGUGUGACAUCUCUGUAUUAUAAAAUAGUGCUAUUUGCAUAACAGGUUGGGCUUUUCAACAGUUAAGGCAAAAUUCUCCUUCAGAUCUGCACAGCAGAUUUUGACUCUGAUAUUCUUUUUCUACAUGUGUAAAAUUCCCACUGGAGCCGAACAUCACUUGACACCCGGCAUCUGGAUCUGGGAGUAGAAUUUUGUCCUUGGUGCUUUAUAUUUAAUGGGAGAGGAAGAAAUAUGUGGAGAUUCCAAGCAAUGCUUCGUGACAAAAGUCAUUUUUGUAGGCUACCUCCUUGCUGGGAGUUUCUGAGAUACCUUCCGUCUCGUCGUCUUCUUUUUCAAGAAGA
Long non-coding RNA from Mauremys reevesii (Reeves's turtle), 925 nucleotides. RefSeq lists it as uncharacterized. The transcript has 4 exons. Lineage: Eukaryota; Metazoa; Chordata; Testudines; Geoemydidae. The record is from RefSeq and is a predicted model, not a curated record.